Long non-coding RNA from Asparagus officinalis (garden asparagus), 898 nucleotides. RefSeq lists it as uncharacterized. Lineage: Eukaryota; Viridiplantae; Streptophyta; Magnoliopsida; Asparagales; Asparagaceae. The record is from RefSeq and is a predicted model, not a curated record. The transcript is spliced from 2 exons.
AGUUUUUGCAAAUUGGAGUUUUUUUUUGUGUUGCAUGUGCAGUUCUUGAGGGCAUGCCAUUGGUAUCUUCAGUCUUCAAUAGUGAGAAGCAAGGCAUAUUAAGAUAGUGCAACGUUUAUCUUUCAAAUUUUGGUGAUCUGUGUUCCUGUUCUUAUUCCUACGGGCAUGUCUAUAUGUUCCAAGUUUCUGCUUUUGCAUAUUUUAACAUUGAGGUUAUGAUGUGAUGUAUGGAAGCCAUGCAUCACUAAUUCAUGCAUCCACAAUAUGAUUCCUACAAAUAAUGUUUGAAGCCGUAUCUCAAUUUGGAAUGUUCUUUCCUGCAAAUUUGUAUUUAAGAAAUUGCUAGGUGUUUCAACAUUUUCUCCACUUUUGUCUUUCUAGUCCUUUCUCUUUUUGGCAUAAUACUAACUCUAUUGGUAUUAUCACAUUAAUGUGUGAGGCACCUGAUUACUAUUCUUGUUCAGAUAUGUAUAGUAAGCACCUGUAUGAUUGCGCUUUAGUCUCUGCUCUGCGGAAAGCUAUGCCAUAGUGGUAUUGGAGCAUAAAUUUUCAUGUCCUUUGGUUGCUUUCUUGUUCCUAAUAUCUAUGAUAACAUCAGUUGAUUGACAGCUAAUCAAGUUGUUAAUGCACACAUAUUUCCAUGUGAAUCCUAAACUAUCAUUUUUGAUCAGGUUGGUGGCUACCUUGAUUUUGACUUUUGAAGCAGUGGAAUUCUGUACAUCAUUGUCUUCCUUGAUAAUACUUCUGUGCCAAUGCCCUUAAGAUAUGUUUCCUUGGCAUGGAUUAUUUUCAAUUUUCAAUGAGCUUGGAUACCUUGGAGAACUUAAAUGGCUUCUCAGAGAAUUGUAAAUUAGCACAUGUGCUUAUCUCAAUUGCACAUUUUUCAAUUUCUUAUUAA